CCUUGUGUACCACAUGUUGCUGCACCUUUGACCCAUUUAUUGACACAUUUUCACCUCCCUUUCCAUCUCUAUGGAAUGUACACAAUCAUUCAUACCCCCUAGCUACAAGACCACUCCAUUUUACCCUUCACACUUUGCAUCAUCACUUCAUUUUCACCCUUGGACCAUUGCACACCACAUACACUCUUUGCCGUGCAUUCUCCCUAGCCUAACAUGAUUCUCUAAGGUUUUUGGGGCCUAUAUAUACAUGUUUACACCCCUUGGCAAAGGGUUCACACUCUCAUAUUC
Molecule: long non-coding RNA, 288 nt
Filed under: Malus domestica (apple)
Lineage: Eukaryota; Viridiplantae; Streptophyta; Magnoliopsida; Rosales; Rosaceae
Description: long non-coding RNA (MDOM_LNC001763)
Source: RNAcentral